This 443-nucleotide ribosomal RNA is filed under the name uncultured bacterium. Its description in RNAcentral is "partial 16S ribosomal RNA". It matches the Rfam family "Bacterial small subunit ribosomal RNA", at positions 338 to 795 of the family's 1533-position model. The record is from RNAcentral.
CCUACGGGUGGCAGCAGUGGGGAAUAUUGGGCAAUGGGCGCAAGCCUGAACCAGCAACGCCGCGUGAAGGAAGAAGGCUCUCGGGUUGUAAACUUCUUUUAUCAGGGACGAAGCAAGUGACGGUACCUUAUGAAUAAGCCACGGCUAACUACGUGCCAGCAGCCGCGGUAAUACGUAGGUGGCAAGCGUUAUCCGGAUUUACUGGGUGUAAAGGGCGUGUAGGCGGGAAAGCAAGUCAGAUGUGAAAAACAUGGGCUCAACCUGUGGCCUGCAUUUGAAACUGUUUUUCUUGAGUACUGGAGAGGCAGACGGAAUGCCUAGUGUAGCGGUGAAAUGCGUAGAUAUUAGGAGGAACACCAGUGGCGAAGGCGGUCUGCUGGACAGCAACUGACGCUGAGGCGCGAAAGCGUGGGGAGCAAACAGGAUUAGAUACCCGGGUAGUC